Sebastes umbrosus (honeycomb rockfish) is the source of this 637-nucleotide long non-coding RNA. RefSeq lists it as uncharacterized. NCBI's taxonomy places the organism in Eukaryota, Metazoa, Chordata, Actinopteri, Perciformes, Sebastidae. The record is from RefSeq and is a predicted model, not a curated record. The transcript has 3 exons.
ACAGGUGAGCCUCAUCAGACACUGACAGGCUGACUGAGGACUGAGUGGAUGUUUCACUCUGAAUGUUUUCAUGCUGUUGGUUGGUGUUGAAGCUGCUGACGGCGUCUUUACGUUAACGUGAGUAGACUGUCUUUGUGUCUCCGUCCUCCGUGUUUAUCUGCAGGAACUAAAGAGUCCAGAGUGGAUCCUGGAAGGAAACCCGUCCACCCGCCCGCCCGCCCGCCCGCCGCCACCAGGAGCCUCGCCGCUGUACGAUGGCGACAGAUUUGUGAUUAAACGGCCACUUUGUCAUGCGAGAGGGACAUAAUGCAUCAACACAGCAGCAGCAGCAGCAGCAGCAGCAGCAGCGGUCGGCCUUGACUCCGCCGGCCUCUCUGUGAACAGCAGCUGGUCUGACGUGAACGACUUCCAACUGCAAACAAAAAGGCUGAUUCAAAGCUCUCCGUUGGUGACAGAGGCAGCAGACCUUGACUGUGUUGUGAUCAGUGUGCUCCUCCUGGUGUCUGCACACAGAUGAAUAGAGUAAAAAAUGCUCAGCAGAGUGGCAGAAAAGAAAAACCCUCACCGGCAGAACGGCUCACUUCGCUUCAAUUCAAACCUUCAGUCAUGUUUUCCUGCUGGUCCUGAAAAAACAGCA